RNAcentral lists this ribosomal RNA (332 nucleotides) under uncultured bacterium. Its description in RNAcentral is "bacterial SSU rRNA". It matches the Rfam family "Bacterial small subunit ribosomal RNA", at positions 568 to 898 of the family's 1533-position model. The record is from RNAcentral.
CGUGUAGGCGGGAAAGAAAGUCAGAAGUGAAAUCCCACGGCUUAACUGUGGAGCUGCUUCUGAAACUUCUUUUCUUGAGUGUCGGAGAGGAAAGUGGAAUUCCAAGUGUAGCGGUGAAAUGCGUAGAGAUUUGGAGGAACACCAGUGGCGAAGGCGGCUUUCUGGACGAUAACUGACGCUGAGGCGCGAAAGCGUGGGGAGCAAACAGGAUUAGAUACCCUGGUAGUCCGCGCUGUAAACGAUGGAUACUAGGUGUAGGAGGUAUCGACCCCUUCUGUGCCGCAGUUAACACAAUAAGUAUCCCACCUGGGGAGUACGGCCGCAAGGUUGAA